UAGGAUUAGAUACCCUAGUAUAUUAAUAAAUUAUAAGGUAGUAGAAAAAUCUUCCAAACCUAUUUAAUAUGGCGGCAUUCCAUCUCAUUAGAGCGAACCUGUUCAUUAAUCGAUAAUCCACGUUAAUUUUCACUCAAAUUAAAAAUUUAUAUACCGCCAUCCUAAACUAAUYCAAUAAUAAUAUUUCCACAUUAAAAAAAAAAAGUUAGGUCAAGGGUAGUCUAUAUUAAAGAUUUAUAAUGGGUUACUUUAAAAAAUAUUUAAGGAUUUUAAUAUAAAAAUAUUUUUUGAAAAAGGAUUUAAAAGUAAUAAUAAAAUAUUAUUUUAUUAUGAUUAAAAUAAUAAAUGAGCACAUAUCCCCCCCCCCA
RNAcentral lists this ribosomal RNA (368 nucleotides) under Allocosa georgicola. Its description in RNAcentral is "partial 12S ribosomal RNA". The record is from RNAcentral. Lineage: Eukaryota; Metazoa; Arthropoda; Arachnida; Araneae; Lycosidae.